CACCCCAAACACGUCCUUAUACACGUCACCACUCAAAACUCUCUUAUCCUACGCAUCUUCCGUUCACAAUAGCAUACCAAAGCAAUACAGUCUGCGCAAUAUAGAUGGCGGCUCUCAUUACCGCGCCUUUAAUCAGACUCCACCGAGACUUGUCGAUUUCAUGACAUGUCCACGUCACAGUUCUUGUCUCUUAUCUUCAUCGUCCCUAACUUUUUGCCAUUUCUAGGGUUCCUAGCAAUUUCGCUUCAAACACUUUCGUCACCUUUCUCUCUACUAUUUCUGAGAUUGAAAUUUGAAUUUCCUUAGCUUCCGACGAUGGGGUCGGUCCCCGAUCCAGGCGAGUUAACCGAGCUAGCACAGCCGAGUUUCGACAAGUUUUAGAAGCAGGCGUCGUUGAUGACGAGCUGCAGUCUUAUGUGGAAGGAUCUCACCGAUCACUUCACUACACUGGAGCAGAACCUGAUGAAAAAAUCAGAGGCGCUGAAGAAGAUGAUUGAAACCCUAGACAACCAGACUCAGACCUCGCUCGAGUCACUCAAGCGUAGAGAGGUGACAAUCGACCGCAGCGUCGAGAUCGUCGCUGAGAAAGUUGGGAAACGCGUCAGAGCUGCUCUGGAGUCGCUUGAGAAAGCUAGAGACGGCGGCGAUGACGACGACAGUGAGGUUGACGAGGAUGAUGAGGAAGGGCUUCUCUCUGCAUUGAAGUCUCUCUGUUGGAAGAUGGACGCUAGAGGAUUCUGGAGCUUCGUGACGGCGAGGAAGAAGGAGCUUGAGAAUCCCCGGUCAAAGAUUCCGGCGGCGUUGGGGGACUGUGUGGAUCCGGCGAUGUUGGUGCUCGAGGCGAUCUCUGAGGUUUUCCCGGUGGAGAAAAGGGAGUCUGGAGAGAAGAUGAUGAACGAUUUCGCAUGGGCUUGUGUGGUGAUUCUGGAAAGUUUAGGGCCUGUGAUGGUGGAUCCGGUGAUCGGGAAGUCGCGGUUGAUUGUUACUCCUAGCGUUAAGGAGAAGGCUGAGGAGGUGGCGGAGACGUGGAAGGCGAGUUUGGAGGAGAGAGGGAGGGUGGAGGAUGUGAAGACUCCUGAUGUCCAUACGUUUCUGCAGCAUCUUGUGAUGUUUGGGAUUUUCAGAAGUGAAGAUCUUGGUCUCUACAGAAAGCUUGUUGUUGGUUCCGCGUGGCGUAAACAGAUGCCGAAGCUUGCUGUUUCGGUUGGUUUAGGUGAUCAGAUGCCAGAUAUGAUCGAAGAGUUGAUCAGCAGGGGACAUCAACUUGAUGCUGUUCAUUUUACUUACGAAGUUGGUCUUGUGGAUAAGUUCCCUCCUGUUUGCUCAAAGCCUAUCUAAGGGACGCAAAGAAGACAGCAGUGGAGGACUCCAGCAACACUGGCCGACCUUCGAAUCUUGUGGCGCAAAAGGAGCAAUCAGCUCUCAAGGCGGUAUUGAAGUGCAUAGAAGAGUACAAACUCGAAGAAGAGUUCCCUCCAGAGAACCUCAAGAAGCGUUUGGACCAGCUGGAGAAGACUAAAACCGACAAGAGAAAACCAGCAGCUGUACCAGCAAACAAGAGAACCAGAGCCAGCUACAACGGUCCAAUGCCACCAGCCAACGUAUCACAAACGCAUACGUCUCUUCCUUCCCCUUCAUCAGAUCACCCUCUCACUCACCUCAGUACGCUUCACCAUCAGCUUACCCAUCCCCACCUGUUACUGUCUACAGCAACAGAAGCCCACCUUAUCCAUUCUCGCCUGAGCUUAUCCCGGGCUCAUACCAAGCUCACCUAUCGGUUAUCCAGCGUACAGCGGUUAUUACAACGGUCCGGUUCCUGUUACUGCCCCAGCUCCUCCGGUUUACCACCCACACUACCAUCAGCAGCAGCACCACCAACACGCUCACCAUCCGCAAGCUUACUACUGAAUUUAGAGAAAUCAAGAAGGAAGGAUGGUAAUAACCAACAACCACUGAUACCUGUGACAACUACUCUGGUCUACUCUCUGCGUCUGCAUCUUUGUCUAUCUACGUUUUGUUGUAAUAUUUUCGAAGCCUAACUCCUUUUAGUAAGUUAGCUCUCCUUUUCUGUUGUGUGUUUAUUAGUUUACCUAUAAACAAAACCCUUCCUUGGGAUGUUUUGUCCACAAACUCAUCUUUCUAUUAAUUAAAUGAAAACUUCUCUUUGUCACAAACCUCUCUCUUACAUUCGUCCCUGUCUUUACAGACAUCCUAAACAGAGCUCACAAGUCGAAAACCAUUCUGGUUCUUUUGAAAGGUCGUUGCUUUGAAUCUCUUUCUUGAACAAAUCGAUGUCACCAUUCUACAGAGCUGCAAGACCCAUCAGUUUCAAUCAAUUCGCUAAAACCAACCUUGCACACCAGUUGUUCGACGAUUUGUCACAAACAUUGGUUGCAUAUCAUUGACAACCUUGCAAACGAACCUCAAGAAGGUAAGCUUUGUGCAAACCUUAAAGCUGUAUGGCACAAUCAAGACAUAACAAACUCGAAUCUAACAUGGUAGGACAACAAACUCGAAUCUAACAUAGUAUCAAGGUUCAGAUCCUAGUUAUGCUACAUCCCUAAUUAAUAUAAUCUUAAUCUAACAUGGUAUCAGAGCCAUGUUCUAAAUACACUAAACUCCUAAUUAAUAUAACUCUAUCCGACCGGGUAUAAAUGUCGUAAUUAUGUUAAUUAUUAUCAUAAGUUCCGAGAUUUCUGGCCGAUAAAAGUCAUCAUCUCGUGGAGGGGUAUUAGGGAUAAGUAUCCUACGUCGAGAAUUCAAUGGGACUUUAACUAAUAUAUAAAGGUUAAGGCCAAUCCACUAACCACAAAUUAGUUUUAAGUUAGAAGUCUAAAAUAAAGCCGAAUCUAACAUGGUAUCAGAGCCCAUAUCCUAAAUAUGCUAAACCCCUAAUUAAUAUCACAUUUCCGACCGGGUAUAAAAGUCGUAUUUGACCCUCUCAACCAGGUAUAACUGUCGUACUAAAACUCGCUCAACCGAGUAUAAAUGUCUUAAAGUUCUGAGAUUUCUGGCUGAUAAGAACCAUCAUCUCGAGGAGGGGUAUUAUAUCCUACAUCGGGAAUUUAAUGGGACAUUGACUAAUAUACAAAGGGUUAAGGCCAAUCCACUAAUUACCAAUUGGUUUUAAGUUGGAAGUCCAUAAUUAAUCCGAAUCUAACAUGGUAUCAGAGCCCAGAUCUUAAAUACCAUGAACCCCUAAUUAAUAUAUGAACCUUCCGACCGGGUUUAAAAGGUCGUAAUUAACUCGCUCGACCGAGUAUAACUGUCUUAAAGUUCCGAGAUUUCUGCCCGAUAAAAGUCAUCAUCUCGAAGUUAGGAUAUUAUAUCCCACAUCGGAAAUUCUAAGGGACAUUAAGUAAUAUAUAAAAGGUUAGGGUCAAUCCACUAAUUAACAAUUAGUUUUAAGUUGGAAGCCUAUAAUUAACCCGAAUCUAACAUGGUAUCAGAGCUAUGUUCUAAAUACAUUACAUCCCUAAUUAAUAUAACCCUAAUCUAAUAUGGUAUCAGAGCCAUGUUCUAAAUACCCUAAACCCUAAUUAAUAUGACCCUUCCGACCGGGUGUAAAAGUCGUAUUUGACCCUCUUGACCGGGUAUAACUGUCAUACUAAAACUCGCUCGACUGAGUAUAAAUGUCCUAAAGUUUCGAGAUUUCUGGCUGAUAAGAACAAUCAUCUCGAGGAGGGGUAUUAGGGAUAUGUAUCCCACAUCGGGAAUUUAAUGGGACAUUGACUAAUAUAUAAAGGGUUAGAGUCAAUCCACUGAUCACCAAUUGGUUUUAAGUUGGAAGCCCAUAACAAAUCCGAAUCUAACAUGGUAUCAGAGUCCAUAUCCUAAAUAUCCUAAACCCCUAAUUAAUAUAACCCUAUCCUACCAGGAAUAAAGGUCGUAAUUAACUCGUUCGACCGAGUAUAAUUGUCUUAAUGUUUCGAGAUUUCUGGCUGAUAAGAGCUAUUAUCUCGAGGAGAGGUAUUAGGGAUAUAUAUCCCACAUCGGGAAUUCUAAAGGACAUUAAAUAAUAUAUAAAGAGUUAGAGAUAAUCACUAAUCACUAAUUGGUUUAAGUUGAAAGCUCAUAACAAACCUGAAUCUAACAUGCUUCAAGCUAUCAUUGAUAAUGGUGUUAAUGUGUUAAGUGAAGCUUAAGCAGAGGAAACUGAAGAAGAAGACUAAUCAUCUUCUAAGAAUGCCAUAUGCAUAAAAUGUUUGCUUUUUAUUUUCAGUUCUGGUCUUUAGACAGUUUUUUUAAAUCUUCUUUAUGCUAUUUUGCAAGACAGAAACAUGUUUUGUUAUUUAAUCAUUAGAUAAUAUUGUCACUCUUCCAAAGAUAUACGGGGAAAAUGAAAUCAUGUAGACAAGCAUAGUUUAGAGAAAACAUAAUAACUUUUUGUGUAAAUAAUUAAGAGGUCACGAGCUCGUAGGUUCGUAUAUUAUUUUAGGAAAAUAAUUAUCACCUGAAUCUCUAUAAUAUUAUUUGAGAAAUAACUUUCAUACGUUUUGCACUCACGUUAAUUUUUACAAUGGUUAUUACAUUUAUACAGUUAAUGAAAUUAAAAUAUCAUCUAUUAAUGCCAUUAUUAAUAAAAUUUUAUUGAUUUAGCUUAAUAUUUUUCCUUUUUUAUAUUAGUAAAAAGUAAGUAAAAACGAAUUUACUUUUAUAUAAUUUCCUAUAUAAAAAGUUUCAUAUCUUUUCAAUUCCACAUUUUUAAAUUAAUUUAUUAAAAAUAAAAUAUUCUCUUUUCUUAAUAAAAAAGAAAGUAUGUCAGUUAGGAUUAUUUAAAAAUCCACGUUAAUUAAAUUGUUUAGGAUAUUAAAAAUCAUAUGAUCUCUCUCUCUCUCUCUCUCUCUCUUCUCUCUCUCUCUCUCUCUCUCUCUCUCUCUCUCUCUCUCUCUCUCUCUCUCUCUCUCUCAAUGAAAAGGAAACUAUGUUAGUUGAUAAUUUAAAUCAAUUUCCUUUUUUACAAAUUUUGAAAUUAUUGGAAUUAAAUAUUUUAUUUUAUUUUUUUUCAAAUUACGUAGUUAGUUAAUUAAUCACUAAUCUAUUUUUGAUAAUCAUACAGUACCCUAUUAAUUUCUAAAUAAAUAUCUUCAUAAAGUUUUUAUAUUUUACUUUAAUUAUAAACUCCUAAUCCUAUUAUUAUUUGAGUGUUCCAAAAAUCUAUAUUAAUUAAUAAUAUUAUUUGAGAAGUCACUUUUCUACGUGUCGCGGUCACUUUUCUACGUGUCGCGCUCACAUUAACUACAUUAAUAUCCUUAUUGAAAUUAAAAUAUUAUCUAUUAAUGCCAUUAUUAAUAAAAGUUCAAAGAUUUUGCUUAAUAUUUUUAUUUUUGUUAUAUUAUUAAAAAAAAAAGUAAAAACGAAUUUAUUUUUAUAUAAUUUCCAAUUGUAUAAAAAAUUUCAUAUCUUUUCAAUUCCACGGUUUUAAAUUAAUUUUUUAAAAAUUUUAAAACAAAAUAUUCCAUUGAUUUGUUUCUACGGGAAUCUGUUUUUUUUUUUCUCACACAGAACUGUUUAUAUCAAUUUCCAUAGUUAAACUGAAGUCUGAUUAAAAAGUUUUUAUUACUAAUGAAGAAGAAAAGCAAAAAAAAAAAUCGAAAAUAUUAUUUUAAAAAAGUAUCCAAAACAGUAAACAGUUUAAUUAGAUUUUUGCUCUUUGUUUUUUCAAACCAAAGAAACAUUUGAGUGUUUAGACUAAUAAAUUUGAUUAAUAGGAUUAUUUUCACUAUAAUUAUUAAGUUUUUAAUAUAGUGUCAUAUUUAGAUUACACAGUUUUCAUCAUAGGCCCAGACUUAAAAAAAAAAACAAAUUUCUCAGUUUUUAGAUUUUGUUACUCUACGAAAUUAUUGAAAAAUCAAAUCUAUAUAUAUAAAAAAAUGUUUGCAUUUCUCCUGUGUUGCCACCUAGGAUCCAGGUCAGAAAGUCGAGGUCCGUAGUGUCUACACGUGUUCCGGCCACAAAAAACGCAGCAAUUCAUUUAUUUUCAUAUCUGUUGGGCUUUUAACGCUAAGUUUAUAUAUUCAAUGUUUUUGGGCUGAUAAUUCGUAUGGUUAAGUUGGCCCGACGCCCUGUAAACAGAAACCCUAAUUCUAAUUUCGCGAGGAAAUGGACUUCGUCAUCUUCGUUUUACGGCGACUCGACAACGCCUAAGCUUCUUCCGAAUCUCUCUGAGACGGUGUGAGUAAUGGUUUGUUCGUGUUUAAUCCCAUUAAUCCUUUCUCUCUUUUUUUACCUCACAAAGAUUGAUCACGUGAGCGCACAACUCAUGUAUUCAUUUUCUACGCUUUCAUGGAGAAUCGAUUUCUAGGGUUGCCACUGUUCUUAAACAAUUGUCGUUUAAAACCGACAAAGAAGCUCCGGCUGGGUUACAGGGAUGAGUAUUUCCUACCAAUCUAUGGUGGUAGCCGCUGUCUAUGUGGAAUCGCCUGGACCGUUACAAAACUCUACUGCAUUCAGUCAUCGUCAUUAACGAUCUCAUUAAUACAGAUUCCCCACUCCUCUCAUGAUGUUUGCCCUUCUCGCUUCCAUUGUGCAAAUCUACAACUAUAAAUAUAGAUUAGGAUGACAAACUCUUCACUCCUGCUCCCCAAUUUGAAAGCCAGGUGUUGUAACUCCACUGUUAAAGUUCACUGGUGAAUGUCUCGGAGGUUCUGGUUAAGAAGAAUUCAAAACUUCCCAAACAGUAAGAAUUGACCUCUAUGAUUUGCUUGUUCACUUAGCUUAGGGUUUUGGAAGAGUUGACAUUAUUCUUUGAUUUGAUUUCUGGGCUGUUAUUAGUUUUGUUCAUGUUCAUUCUUGGUUUUGGUCCAUUGUAAUUGAAGAAACACUUCAAUUAUGUUCUUCACACUUCAUAGUCUGGUCUCUGAGCCUUGGCACUUGAAUCUUCUUAUAUCUGAGUGAAAAAUGACACAUUUAUUUUAUAUUUUUAAAGUACAAAAGAGUUGCUUAUAUAUAGGUUGUUAAGAAAGAUGAAGAUGUGAAAGUUCUUGCAAUGGUGGGGGAUGAGGAUUGGUUGCCUCCACCGGCAAAGGUUAUCUUCACUAAAAUUAUCUCAAUAAUAUCAAAAAGUCCGCUAAAGAUUUCAGCCAUUACAUCAUUGAAGUAGUUUUGUAUGUAUAUGCUUCCCAUGUUUUCUUUUAGAAAGGAGGUUGGAUGACAUCAUGUUGCAGUUCUAGAAUAUUGAUGUCAUCAGAAUUAUUAGCAGUGUUUUUGGCCAGAGCAUAGCUUUGAAUUACUAAUUUACUAUGGCCGGCAGGUAGCAAUCACAUAUCAGUUUGUUCCUGUUAGGUUGAUGGUAUGGUAGCAAUUUGCAAAGUUAACUGAACAAACCAUGGGAUGGAGAAAAUAGGAACGCUUACAACGGACAUGAAGAAGCUGUUCCAGUUGGAGAUUUUUCACUAAAGCAACUCCAAACGAAGAGUUUCUAAUUUGUUUUUAGUGUGUUUUAUCAUUUUCUUUUCCUAGGUGAAUUUGUAAGCAAGAGUUUCAUAUAUGACUUGCUGCAACCGUAAAAAUUGUGUUUUUACUUUUAUGCGUCAAUCUUUUAAUAAUACAAUAAAAGGGUCAUGUGCUAA
Brassica napus (rape) is the source of this 7571-nucleotide RNA transcript. It is a transcript of the gene named FRIGIDA-like protein 4a, with no coding region annotated. The record is from RefSeq and is a predicted model, not a curated record. Lineage: Eukaryota; Viridiplantae; Streptophyta; Magnoliopsida; Brassicales; Brassicaceae. The transcript has 4 exons.